Molecule: ribosomal RNA, 505 nt
Filed under: uncultured bacterium
Lineage: Bacteria
Description: partial 16S ribosomal RNA
Rfam family: Bacterial small subunit ribosomal RNA
Source: RNAcentral
GACGAACGCUGGCGGCGUGCCUAAUACAUGCAAGUGGAACGCACAGUUUAUACCGUAGCUUGCUACACCAUAAACUGUGAGUUGCGAACGGGUGAGUAACGCGUAGGUAACCUGCCUGGUAGCGGGGGAUAACUAUUGGAAACGAUAGCUAAUACCGCAUAAUAUUGAUUAUUGCAUGAUAAUUGAUUGAAAGAUGCUAUUGCAUCACUACCAGAUGGACCUGCGUUGUAUUAGCUAGUAGGUGCGGUAACGGCUCACCUAGGCGACGAUACAUAGCCGACCUGAGAGGGUGAUCGGCCACACUGGGACUGAGACACGGCCCAGACUCCUACGGGAGGCAGCAGUAGGGAAUCUUCGGCAAUGGACGAAAGUCUGACCGAGCAACGCCGCGUGAGUGAAGAAGGUUUUCGGAUCGUAAAGCUCUGUUGUAAGAGAAGAACGGGUGUGAGAGUGGAAAGUUCACACUGUGACGGUAUCUUACCAGAAAGGGACGGCUAACUACGUG